RNAcentral lists this ribosomal RNA (240 nucleotides) under uncultured bacterium. RNAcentral's name for it is "partial 16S ribosomal RNA". It matches the Rfam family "Bacterial small subunit ribosomal RNA", at positions 111 to 334 of the family's 1533-position model. The record is from RNAcentral.
UAACACGUAAACAACCUGCCCUCAGGAUGGGGACAACAGACGGAAACGACUGCUAAUACCGAAUAAGUUCCAAGGGCCGCAUGGCCCAUGGAAGAAAAGGUGGCCUCUACCUGUAAGCUAUCGCCUGAAGAGGGGUUUGCGUCUGAUUAGCUGGUUGGAGGGGUAACGGCCCACCAAGGCGACGAUCAGUAGCCGGUCUGAGAGGAUGAACGGCCACACUGGAACUGAGACACGGUCCAG